This 465-nucleotide ribosomal RNA is filed under the name uncultured bacterium. RNAcentral's name for it is "partial 16S ribosomal RNA". It matches the Rfam family "Bacterial small subunit ribosomal RNA", at positions 28 to 507 of the family's 1533-position model. The record is from RNAcentral.
GACGAACGCUGGCGGCGUGCUUAACACAUGCAAGUCGUACGGUAAGGCCCUUUCGGGGGUACACGAGUGGCGAACGGGUGAGUAACACGUGAGUAACCUGCCCACAACUUUGGGAUAACGCUAGGAAACUGGUGCUAAUACUGGAUAUGUGCUCCUGCUGCAUGGUGGGGGUUGGAAAGCUCCGGCGGUUGUGGAUGGACUCGCGGCCUAUCAGCUUGUUGGUGGGGUAGUGGCCUACCAAGGCGGCGACGGGUAGCCGGCCUGAGAGGGUGACUGGCCACAUUGGGACUGAGAUACGGCCCAGACUCCUACGGGAGGCAGCAGUGGGGAAUAUUGCACAAUGGGCGCAAGCCUGAUGCAGCAACGCCGCGUGCGGGAUGACGGCCUUCGGGUUGUAAACCGCUUUCAGCAGGGACGAAGCUUUUUGUGACGGUACCUGCAGAAGAAGCACCGGCUAACUACGUG